This 741-nucleotide long non-coding RNA is filed under the name Homo sapiens (human). RNAcentral describes it as "non-protein coding lnc-MVP-3:5". The record is from RNAcentral. Lineage: Eukaryota; Metazoa; Chordata; Mammalia; Primates; Hominidae.
AGAGAGGCUCCAGAGCGCCCUGCAGAUGGGUUGCUUUUCGCGUGCCCCUUGUGAUGGGAGGAUUAGGUCGCAGGCUCCACCCUACGUCAUCCUCCCAAGCUUCUCAAGCGUCUGGCGCUUGGGGUCACUGCCCUCAAGGAGGCACCUGGAGGGGGGGAUGGCGUCCACUCCGAUGGGGAAUGAGGGGGAGAAGAAGAGCAGCUGGCCAUCUCAAGCUGCACCCUCCUUGAGAGGAGGUCCGGCUUCGUUAUCUCGUUCUGAGGAAUACCUGUCCCAGAUCAGUGCAGAACUCAUGGAGGAGGCUUUGUGCACUGCUUGCUGCCACUUGAACCCUGUGCCCAUCAAAAAAAAGCAGUCACAAGACCAAGCGACUCAGAUAUCCAAACGCGCAUUCUUCACCAAGACCUGAGGCACAGACACCUGGUGAGUGAGGCUUCAAGGGAGAUGCUCUUUGUCCUGGGAGAGAGCCCUCUCCCCUCUCUUCCACCAUCUCCUGCUCGGACAGAAACCGUACCUGCAGCAAGGCAUACCUCCUGCCAACUCCUGGUGAAAAGAACAUGCCUCAAAACUACUCUUUUGCCACUCGUUAACCACUUCCGUUUGUGGGGACCUCCUGGUCAUGAGCAGCAUCAUCCCGAAGCCUUCAAAGUGUUCUGGAUUCAUCACAGGACCCUCCAGCCUCAGCCAGCAAGGAUACCACCAGGAAUGAAAGUGCUUUAAUAAAGAGACAGGGUGUGCAUU